Molecule: ribosomal RNA, 249 nt
Filed under: uncultured bacterium
Lineage: Bacteria
Description: partial 16S ribosomal RNA
Rfam family: Bacterial small subunit ribosomal RNA
Source: RNAcentral
CGCACGGGUGAGUAACGCGUAGGUAAUCUACCCUUAUGACUGGGAUAACAUUGGGAAACUGGUGCUAAUACCGGAUACACUUCUUUACUGCGGGGUAAAGGAGGAAAGGUGGCCUCUUCAUGAAAGCUACCGUAUAGGGAUGAGCCUGCGUACCAUUAGCUAGUAGGCGGGGUAACGGCCCACCUAGGCAACGAUGGUUAGCGGGUCUGAGAGGAUGAUCCGCCACACUGGAACUGGAACACGGACCAA